ACAAUUACAAAAUAUCAUUUAAUAUUUUUAUAGUUUGAACGUAAUAUUCAACGAUUUAAAGAAAUAAUAUGGAUAAUAUAAUAUUUUAAUAACAUAAUGGAUAUGGAAAAUUAUUUACGCAAAGUUACAGCAAAAGUAAAAUUCAAACAUCAUUCUGAUAAAAUAUUUAAGACUUAUUGCUGUCAUAUGACGUGAAAAUUAUCGAUUCAUCUUACGAAGAAACCAACGAAGAAAUAUUAAUUCUAUCAAAAAUGCAUUUUACCCAGAUUUUUUCUUGGGAUAAAUUCGAUUAUCGAAUAUUAUCGUCGAAAGAAAUAAACGAACAAGGAUAGAGGAGAAGCGAGGAAGAAAGAGAUAGACCAGGUCAUAACGCGAUGCAAGUGGGUUUUGAUCUGUGUUGGCGACGUCUUGAAGGUUGACCGGAAAUUCGGAAGAGGUGGUCGGUUCUGGAGAAUUAGCACUGACCUAGGGAAGGCCUCGAGGUCGUCGAUGGCACACAUUCCGAGUGUGCCUAUAUUAAGUUAACUGCUUCAUAGCUGCCGAUUGGACGGCCGGUUUGCCAUUGCCAGCAUAUAGGUAUAUACGGCAGGGCAUAGGCAAUGCCAAUUGCACGCAUCCGCAAAUUUGCCACCAACUGGCACGCUUAUGUUAUAAAGUUACUGUGGCUCUACCUAAGUGGUUCCUCUCUCUAAGACAUUGUAUGGGUAAAGAUCGUACAGGAGUUCCUUUGUAAAAGAAUGAAGGAAGAAAGUGGAAGAGAAAAGUGAAAACUUGGUAUUGGGCUUUUACAUAGUUUCUCUUCUAACAGGACUCGUUUUAAGUAGAAAAACUGGUGAAAUUAAUCUUCUUUAAAGAAUAGAGGAUUAUGGGUAAAGUAUAAAUUUGAAAUCUGAAAUGAGAGAUUGUAACGAGUAGAUUGUUUUUUUUUUUUUUUUUUUUAAUGAUAGAAAGGCAAAAAAAAUGCGAGAAUUGAUACUUGUAGUAAUUUUGUCGUGUACUGGCUCAUUGUCAUGCGUUCAUUGUACGUAGCUUUAAUGGGAUUGUAAGUAUUAUAAUCAAUCCUGUUAAAACUGAUGAUUGCUGCUCGAAACACGCGUUUGAAUUAAGGAGUUUUUAAAACCAUUUUUUCAUAAUUAUCUUCUGAGCUGACGAGAUAUU
Apis florea (little honeybee) is the source of this 1158-nucleotide long non-coding RNA. Lineage: Eukaryota; Metazoa; Arthropoda; Insecta; Hymenoptera; Apidae. The record is from RefSeq and is a predicted model, not a curated record.